RNAcentral lists this ribosomal RNA (819 nucleotides) under uncultured bacterium. Its description in RNAcentral is "bacterial SSU rRNA". It matches the Rfam family "Bacterial small subunit ribosomal RNA", at positions 9 to 862 of the family's 1533-position model. The record is from RNAcentral.
GAGUUUGAUCCUGGCUCAGGACGAACGCUGGCGGCGUGCCUAAUGCAUGCAAGUCGAACGCAGCAGGCGUGCCUGGCUGCGUGGCGAACGGCUGAGGAACACGUGGGUAACCUGCCCCGGAGUGGGGGAUACCCCGUCGAAAGACGGGACAAUCCCGCAUACGCUCUUUGGAGGAAAGCUAUACGGCGCUCUGGGAGGGGCCUGCGGCCCAUCAGGUAGUUGGUGUGGUAACGGCGCACCAAGCCAAUGACGGGUACCCGGUCUGAGAGGACGACCGGGCAGACUGGGUCUGCGACACGGCCCAGACUCCUACGGGAGGCAGCAGCAAGGAAUUUUCCCCAAUGGGCGCAAGCCUGAGGGAGCAACGCCGCGUGGAGGACGACGGCCUUCGGGUUGUAAACUCCUUUCGGGUGGGACGAAGCUGACGGUACCACCAGAAGCAGCCCCGGCUAACUCUGUGCCAGCAGCCGCGGUAAGACAGAGGGGGCAAGCGUUGUCCGGAGUUACUGGGCGUAAAGGGCGCGCAGGCGGUGGGCUGCGUCGGCGCUGAAAGCGCCCCGCUUAACGGGGCGAGGUGCGCCGAUACGAGUUCACUCGAGGCAAGCAGAGGGUGGCGGAAUUCCGGGUGGAGCGGUGAAAUGCGUAGAGAUCCGGAGGAACGCCGGUGGGGAAGCCGGCCACCUGGGCUUGACCUGACGCUGCGGCGCGACAGCGUGGGGAGCAAACCGGGAUUAGAUACCCGGGUAGUCCACGCCGUAAACGAUGCCGGCUCGGCGUCUGGCGCACGUUAGUGUGCUGGGUGCCUCAGCUCACGCGGUA